GUGAGGAAUAUUGCGCAAUGGAGGCAACUCUGACGCAGCCAUGCCGCGUGCAGGAAGAAGGCGCUACGCGUUGUAAACUGCUUUUAACCGGGAAGAAACCCCAGGACGUGUCCUGGGUUGACGGUACCGGAGGAAUAAGCACCGGCUAACUUCGUGCCAGCAGCCGCGGUAAUACGAAGGGUGCAAGCGUUAUCCGGAUUCAUUGGGUUUAAAGGGUGCGUAGGCGGAGCGUUAAGUCAGUGGUGAAAUCCUGCAGCUUAACUGUAGACUUGCCAUUGAUACUGGCGCUCUUGAGUGCGCUUGAAGUGGGCGGAAUGUGCCGUGUAGCGGGGAAAUGCUUAGAUAUGGCACAGAACACCAAUUGCGAAGGCAGCUCACUAAGGCGAUACUGACGCUGAGGCACGAAAGCGUGGGGAUCGAACAGGAUUAGAAACCCCGGUAGUCC
This 445-nucleotide ribosomal RNA is filed under the name uncultured bacterium. RNAcentral describes it as "partial 16S ribosomal RNA". It matches the Rfam family "Bacterial small subunit ribosomal RNA", at positions 354 to 796 of the family's 1533-position model. The record is from RNAcentral.